AUGACUGAAAUCAAAACAGCUCUGUUAAAAGCACGGGCUAGGGGCUACCUGUCCCCUAACAGCUUCCACCUCCAAGGAUUGAAACCACGUUCUAAGAGAAAUAUUGGCUGCUACAUACAAGCCCGUGUCUGUAGACUAGCAUUGAUCUUUAUCCGUGGGAUUCUCUGUGGCCUGAAUUGAAGUUGAGCUCCUCCAGAGAAGAUUAGAGUUUGCCUCUGCUGGUAGGCUGGGGCAGUACCAACCUAGACUCUUUAAAUCCUCACUUGACAUUUUUCAGAUCAUACAAGUCUCAUGAAAUUAGGCCACAAACCUGCAGGUCCUGGUUAUGAAUUCUCAGGAUAAAGUUUUUUUGCCGAGAAUAAUGGAGGUCCCAUUGGUAAAACUGUAAUAUUUUUGUUGUGCAUGUGUUUGUUUUGAUGAAUAAACAUUGGAGUCAUAUAUAUCUUCCAGCCAUGAGAGAACUUUCUGAGUUGCUAAUAGUUUCUAAACAAUAUAGACAGAUGGGUGAGCUUCCAUUUAAGCUUUCUAUUCCUCUAAGAGCCAGUUGUUAUAAAGAAGUAGGAAACUAACCCAAAACUAUAAUAAGUUUUUUUGCAAACGAUGCAGCUCAACCUAGCUCUUACAGAAGCAGGGUACCCCUUUCUGUAGUGAGUUGGUGGAUUCAUGUAACUAGUUACACUGGCACCCUAGUCUACAGCAGCCCACGUGGGCAGCAUAUAGAAGCUGUUGCUUCUCUUGAGAGGCUAUGCUGGGCAGUGGUUAAAGCCUGGGCUUUGCAGCCAGUGGUCCGUGUGGGAAUCCUGACUUGCAUUCUGGUUUUAUGUGGCCUUGGGCAAAUCCCUUAAUCUCCCUGUGCCUCACUGCUUCCCUUAGUUAAAACAGGGAUGGUAACAUCUCUAUCAACGGUUGCUGUGAGACGGAAGAAGUUAGUACAUGGAAAGAACCCAGACACGUAAUAGGUAGCAAAUAUUAGGUAUUAUUUUUAUUGUUUGACUGUUCCCUGCCACCAAAUCCAGGUAGCAUUGAUGAGAGGUGUAAAACACGUAACAAAAAAACGGAACUAGAACUCCACCCCCUACCAUCAUGUAGUUGAUAGUCUGCUAAAAGCACUGUUAGGAAAUUCUGUUCCACAGAGAUCCACAAGAUUUCCACAAGUAACACAGAGCCAACCGGGAAACUGAAGGAAAAGUAAUUUCAC
RNAcentral lists this long non-coding RNA (1198 nucleotides) under Callithrix jacchus (white-tufted-ear marmoset). Its description in RNAcentral is "lncRNA (ENSCJAG00000074169.1)". Lineage: Eukaryota; Metazoa; Chordata; Mammalia; Primates; Cebidae. The record is from RNAcentral.